This 413-nucleotide ribosomal RNA is filed under the name uncultured bacterium. RNAcentral describes it as "bacterial SSU rRNA". It matches the Rfam family "Bacterial small subunit ribosomal RNA", at positions 9 to 423 of the family's 1533-position model. The record is from RNAcentral.
GAGUUUGAUCAUGGCUCAGAGUGAACGCUGGCGGCAUGCCUAACACAUGCAAGUCGAACGGUAACAGGCCCGCAAGGGUGCUGACGAGUGGCGGACGGGUGAGGAAUACAUCGGAAUUUGCCCAAUCGUGGGGGAUAACGUAGGGAAACUUACGCUAAUACCGCAUACGACGGUGACGUGAAAGCGGGGGAUCAGCAAUGACCUCGCGCGGAUGGAUAAGCCGAUGUCGGAUUAGCUAGUUGGCGGGGUAAAGGCCCACCAAGGCGACGAUCCGUAGCUGGUCUGAGAGGAUGAUCAGCCACACUGGGACUGAGACACGGCCCAGACUCCUACGGGAGGCAGCAGUGGGGAAUAUUGGACAAUGGGGCAACCCUGAUCCAGCAAUGCCGCGUGUGUGAAGAAGGCCUUCGGUU